GUGCAGCGGGGUGACGGUUGUGCGAGGGGGAGGUGGCUGGUUCGCCUGCCGGGCGGGAGGUGUCGCCGGGCGGCCGGAGCCCGCCCCAGAGCCCGCUGCCCCGGAGCCCCACCGCCGCCUCCUUACCUUUAUUCGCCACCUCCCAGGCGAUCUCGAACAGAAAGAGGUUGUCCGUCGGCAAUUCAUCCUCGAAGCCGCUAAAUGAAGAAUCUGCACCAGGCAACGCCCAAAUUCUUCCAGGAUCAUAUGUUCGGCAACUGACAGGGAAUGAACUUUCCAUUAUGGCUACAUUAUAAGCUCUGAAAAGGACGCAGGCUUCCGGCGACAAUCAGUGGAAGCCAUCACUUGUCGCAAUAGAUGACGGUGGUAGCAGAAUUAGCUCAGGAUACUUCCAGUUUCCAGCCCCGCGACGUGGAUGCUUCUGCUAUGGGGACAAUUCUUAAAUGAAGGCAUAUGAAGGCCUUUCUAUGUUUACCAUGAAUUUCUAAGUAUUGAUUCACAACAUUAGUAAUUUAAAGUGCAGGUGUUUACCUUGUUAGAGAUAUAGUGGAAGGGAUAUGCACACUUGGCUCGGAGCUAAGGUUGCCAUUUUCUGUGAUUGGUCCACCAGGUGUUUGUUGUAGCUGCUCAAAACAAAAUGACAUGAUUCAAAAUACAGUUCCAACAUUCCUUUAGAAACAUAGAAACAUAGAAAUUAAUCUAUACUAUACAUCAAAUAAUAUACUUUUGCUUAGGUAUGCUGACUUUAGUGCAAUCUUACACUGGUCAACAUGUUGAGGCCAGGGCAAAACACAAAGUGCUGGAGUAACUCAGCGGGUCAGGCAUCAUCUGUGGGUCAGGCAGCAUCUGUGGAAGGA
Amblyraja radiata (thorny skate) is the source of this 857-nucleotide long non-coding RNA. RefSeq lists it as uncharacterized. The transcript has 3 exons. Lineage: Eukaryota; Metazoa; Chordata; Chondrichthyes; Rajiformes; Rajidae. The record is from RefSeq and is a predicted model, not a curated record.